ACGCUGGCGGCGUGCCUAAUACAUGCAAGUCGAACGAGAGCGACCGGUGCUUGCACUGGUCAAUCUAGUGGCGAACGGGUGAGUAACACGUGGGUAACCUGCCCAUCAGAGGGGGAUAACAUUCGGAAACGGAUGCUAAAACCGCAUAGGUCCUUUAACCGCAUGGUUGAAGGAGGAAAAGAGGCGCAAGCUUCUGCUGAUGGAUGGACCCGCGGUGCAUUAGCUAGUUGGUGAGGUAACGGCUCACCAAGGCCGUGAUGCAUAGCCGACCUGAGAGGGUGAUCGGCCACAUUGGGACUGAGACACGGCCCAAACUCCUACGGGAGGCAGCAGUAGGGAAUCUUCCGCAAUGGACGCAAGUCUGACGGAGCAACGCCGCGUGAGUGAAGAAGGUUUUCGGAUCGUAAAACUCUGUUGUUAGAGAAGAACAAGUGCUAGAGUAACUGUUAGCGCCUUGACGGUAUCUAACCAGAAAGCCACGGCUAACUACGUGCCAGCAGCCGCGGUAAUACGUAGGUGGCAAGCGUUGUCCGGAUUUAUUGGGCGUAAAGCGAGCGCAGGUGGUUCCUUAAGUCUGAUGUGAAAGCCCCCGGCUCAACCGGGGAGGGUCAUUGGAAACUGGGGAACUUGAGUGCAGAAGAGGAGAGUGGAAUUCCAUGUGUAGCGGUGAAAUGCGUAGAUAUAUGGAGGAACACCAGUGGCGAAGGCGACUCUCUGGUCUGUAACUGACGCUGAGGCUCGAAAGCGUGGGUAGCGAACAGGAUUAGAUACCCUGGUAGUCCACGCCGUAAACGAUGAGUGCUAAGUGUUGGAGGGUUUCCGCCCUUCAGUGCUGCAGUUAACGCAUUAAGCACUCCGCCUGGGGAGUACGACCGCAAGGUUGAAACUCAAAGGAAUUGACGGGGACCCGCACAAGC
RNAcentral lists this ribosomal RNA (917 nucleotides) under uncultured bacterium. RNAcentral's name for it is "bacterial SSU rRNA". It matches the Rfam family "Bacterial small subunit ribosomal RNA", at positions 33 to 930 of the family's 1533-position model. The record is from RNAcentral.